This 495-nucleotide ribosomal RNA is filed under the name uncultured bacterium. RNAcentral's name for it is "partial 16S ribosomal RNA". It matches the Rfam family "Bacterial small subunit ribosomal RNA", at positions 28 to 507 of the family's 1533-position model. The record is from RNAcentral.
GACGAACGCUGGCGGCGUGCCUAAUACAUGCAAGUAGAACGCUGAAGGAGGAGCUUGCUCUUCUGGAUGAGUUGCGAACGGGUGAGUAACGCGUAGGUAACCUGCCUGGUAGCGGGGGAUAACUAUUGGAAACGAUAGCUAAUACCGCAUAAGAGUAGAUGUUGCAUGACAUUUGCUUAAAAGGUGCAAUUGCAUCACUACCAGAUGGACCUGCGUUGUAUUAGCUAGUUGGUGGUGUAACGGCUCACCAAGGCGACGAUACAUAGCCGACCUGAGAGGGUGAUCGGCCACACUGGGACUGAGAAACGGCCCAGACUCCUACGGGAGGCAGCAGUAGGGAAUCUUCGGCAAUGGACGGAAGUCUGACCGAGCAACGCCGCGGGAGGGAAGAAGGGUUUCGGAUCGGAAAGCUCUGUUGUAAGAGAAGAACGAGUGUGAGAGUGGAAAGUUCACACUGUGACGGUAUCUUACCAGAAAGGGACGGCUAACUACGUG